GAAGCAAAUUUAGUUGAUUACAAAAACUAUCAUAGUCUAGAGAUAGCCAUAGGCAAGGCUGAGUGACAGAGGGACUAAAGGAGGUUCCUGGAUCUUUCUUUGGGCUUCAGAUGUGACUGUAGAGAGCUCUUCCUGGGGAAAGCUGAUGGGACCUGGGCAAGGAUCCCAGCCCUCUGCUGGCCUCAUAGGCUGAGUGACUGAUUUAGAGUGCUUGGGGUCAGUAUGAAUUAGAGAGAUUCAACUCAUCUAUUUGCUGAUCCAGCUCAUCUAUUGGCUCUAUAGUGAUGUGUAUAUUACUGACUUUUCUCAGUUUUACAUGAGGCCCAUUGAAGGCCUGUCCUGAAGUUCUGCCUUCAACAGUGCUAGUGUCAUAACCACCAUGGAGAAGUUGAAGGUAGCAUAGAGUGCUUGAGAAAUAGAGCCAAAUGUAGCUACUGGUUGUAGCAACUACUGCAGUCUUCUUAGCUACAGAGAAGCCAUGACUGCUCCUGUGCUGCUCAUCAACAUUUCAGUUACAAAGUGAACCCAACUCCAUGCCCAGUUCAGUUACAAAGUUGGAGACAGAGUUGUGCCUACUUACAGAGAUGGGGUCUUGCUAUGCUGCCCAGGCUGGUCUAAAAUUCCUGUCCUCAAGCAGUCCUCCUGUCUUGGCCUCCCAAAGUGGCUCAAAUGUUUCCUAGACUCUUAAACUUGACAUCGUCACUUCUGAAGCAUAGAAAAGGCACAGAGCGAUAAAAUGAUUUUUAAAAAAGGCAUCAUCCAAGUUCUUGAUAGUGAAGCAAUGAGACAGAUACAAUGUAACAACAUCUUUAAAGUGCUGAAUGAUCAUACCUGUCCAUCUGGAAUUCUACAUCCUGCUAAAAUAUCCUUCAAAAAUGAAAAUAAAGGCUGACCUGCUAACGGUAUAUUAAAGGAACAUUUUCAGACCAAAGAAAAUAAAACUAAGUACGAACUCAGAUCAACAGAAGAAAUAACACCAAAAAUGUUUUUUUAAAACUCCAGCCAUCACAAAGCCAAGAAACAAACCUCAUGAAUGCCACUAUUUCCCCUUGAGAAAAAGCAACAAUGUCACAAAACGUUGAUAAAAGUGGGUGAAAAGUAUUCUUAAAUGAAGAUCCUGAAGCCUCUGUGUACUUUCUAGUCAUUGCUCCCAUUUGUCUGUUUUGUGAAAUAGUAGUAGUUUCUAUUUAUGAAAAGGUUUAAAAGAAAGCUAAAAUAAUAACUGGUAGAAGCAUAACUUCUAGAACCUUAGGAAGACAAUUUAGCAAUGUCUGUGAAAACUCAAAUUGCUCUUACCUUUGACCAGCAACCCCCCUUGUUGACACCUAUUCCACAGAAAUAUUCACAUUAAAUGUAUAAAGAUAGACGUGGACAAAAAUUUCACUGUAGCAUAUCUUGGAACAGGAGCAAACUAGAGACUGCUAAAUGUCUACUGAUAGGAGAAUAGUUAACAAAUUAUGGCACAUCUAUGCUAACAAAUACUGUGCAGCUGUUAAAAGAAAAUAUAAAUAUUAGAUGUCUACAAGACAGUCUUGUGUGAAAGAAGCAGGCUGCAGAACAAAAUGCACAAUAUUAUCUGUUUUGAAAUAACUUCCUCCAUUCUCUCUUCUUUUUCUCUGCUUUUCUCCUUCCUUUUGCUUUGUGAAUGCAUAUAAAAUGACCCAAAGGAUACACAUUAAACUUUUAUCAGUGGUUACCACCUGGAGAGAGGGUGUGGAGAGAUGGUGAGAACUUUCAUUUUUUUUUUUUUUUUUUGCUUUCUAUAUGCCUAUAUUGUUUGAUAUACACAUAAUGGAUGUAUGGUUGUUUUGUAAUUUAAAAAAGAAAAGAGUGGCUUGCACCUGUAGUCCCAGCUACUUCUUCGAAGGCUGAGAUUGGAGGAUCACCUGAGCCAAGGAGGUGGAGGCUGCAGACGGGAUCUCACCUCCAUACUCUAACCUAGGUGAGAGUGAGACCCUGUCUUUAAAAAAAAAAAA
Long non-coding RNA from Chlorocebus sabaeus (green monkey), 1976 nucleotides. RefSeq lists it as uncharacterized. The record is from RefSeq and is a predicted model, not a curated record. Lineage: Eukaryota; Metazoa; Chordata; Mammalia; Primates; Cercopithecidae.